UGUGUCACUACCCCUUCCACCACCUCUCCCCCGUCAUUCCCCCGCUCACCGUGCCAUCUACCUACACGUGCUCUUUCCAAGCCUCCUCCAUCCCUCAGUUUCUCUGACUCGGUUUGAUUUUUUUUGUGUUCUCUGUUCAUCUCUCUCUCUCUCUCUCUCUCUCUCUCCACCCCUCAUCAUACUCAUCCUCGGCCCCCACCUACACCCCCUACGCUGUUUGUGUGUCACCGCUGCCUGGAAGAAAGAAGAAGAAGAAGAAAUGCUCCGGCCAGUGGCAGUCAGUGAGCGGAGAGGCGGAGAGGGGAAAACAGAGGGAAGAGCUGGGGCGCGUUCACAGCACAGCGAUGACGCCGUUCACCAGCACCGGCCAGACUUGAUGGACUUAUCCCGGACUGCAGAGGGCAGACGGAAGGAGAGGGAGAAGAAGGAAGGAAAAGAAGAAGAGGAGAAGGACUGAAGAGGCACCUGCCUCAGGAAGCUCCCGCCAGUCCAGUCUCAUUGUCCUCACACACACACACACACACACACACACACACCUCGCUGCCCGAGUGUGUGUGCAUGUGUGUGCGAGGACGGAGGUGUGGCAGGUCAUUGUCCAGCACCGUGCUGCUGAGUGCCGGCUUCAAUUCUAAGGUGGACGUGGAUGCGGCCCGUCACGUAGGCCAUGCCCUUCACCUGCGCCUGCUUCUGUGGCCUGAACGGCUUCUGCCGCAGACGGAGGAAGAAGAAAAAGGAGCAAGUGGACGAAGUGGAGGGUGAGGAGGCGGAGCGCUGUGGGGACCAGGAGACAGAUGUGUGACAGCUGUGCUGUCGGCCACGCCCUCUCCUUUACCCUUUAAAAGACUUUCAAAGGAACGUGCAGCCCAUUCAGGCUGGAAGUUGCAGGAAAUGGCGUGUGUGAGCGGUGGACGCAGAGAACGUUUUCAAAAUUGACCAGAGGCUGUAAACAGGUCAGAUGUUCCACAAAUCUGAUGCCAAAUCACCGUCGUCAUCAUCAUCAUCAUUGGGUGAGAAAUCAAUUUCUCCCCCUUCUUUUUUCCUCUGUGUUUUCACUUCAUCUUCUCCGGCGCACACACACACACACACACACACACACACACUGAGGCGGUCGAUGCUGGAGCGGGUAUUGAGCAGUGGCUGUGGUCUAAAUGAGAGUUUGAUUUCUCAGGGGGUGUCAGCCCCUGUAACUGUGGUGUUGAGUCACCAUCAGAGACCUCUUCACAAAAUGCCAAUUGAUGAAUGAGUGACUGUGCGUGCGCGUGUGCGUGUGUGUGUGUGUGUGUGUGUGUGUGUGCACUUUAAACGUGUUGUGAUUUAGCUGUACCCAAGAACAAUACUUUUCAUUACAGGCUGAUAAAGUUCAUUAAGGACGAGCGGUGACUUGAUCUGCUCUUUAACACUUCAUUCUUGUGACAUUACACACACACACACACACACAGGUAAAUGGAUGUAUGGACUGCCAAUAGAAUAAAUAUAAUUAAGUAUUUAAUGAUGGAUCUUUAAAUGCAUGGGUUUGUACCCAAUUUAUAAUUGUUUAGGAAUCGUAAGCCUUCAGAAUCAUAGCGAAAUCAAAUGACACGUUAUCAUUAAUACAUGGAAAAGCAAAAAAAAAAUGAAAUAAAUAAAUCACAUAAUACACUGUGUUCCUGUGGACUCAUCUCUUGAGAUGAGAACUCAGGCAUUACUUCAUUUUUUUGACGUUGCAUGAUGCAGCUGAAAAAACAUGCCGGUCCAAAAUGGUGGCCUCUGCAGAGCUGACCUGGAUCCUGAUAUAAAUAAGAAAGGCUCAUUCUGGGAUAAUGAAAAACAGCCACUCCUUCAGCUCAGUGAUUGUACACUUGUGCAUAAUGAAGUAUAUUUAUUUUAUCUUCAAUUCCUGCCAAAUCAUUUCUUCUAAAUUUCACACACUGGACCAGUUUGUAGGUUUUAGUGGCCUCUCGGGGUCACUUCACGCUCCCCAUCCAAGUGUAGGAAAGAAAGUGGCCCUCAGUUAUCAUCAAGAGCCGUUCCUGGAGACGGGGUUUGACUCGUCUAUUCUGGGAUGCCAUACAAACAUAGCUGUUACAAUUAUACAAGAGUGAGAGUUUGUUUUGUGUGCAUUUCUGCAAAUACGAGGCCUGUAUUGAGGUAACACUUUGUUUUACGCGUGCAUUGAGUAUUGAGUCUCACAUGAACCCGGCACAUGCACAGAUGCAAGGGCAGUCUCCCUCUUCAUAACAUUGACUGAGCCGCUGAUGGCGUCUGAACCAACAGGAAAAGACCCAAUGAUCGUGAGCCAAUCACCGCACCCGCAACAAUUAGUCUUCCUGUGUGUGUUUUUAUGGAUCUCAUACCUGUUGGCCUUUUGCAGUGGGAGAAAAGUGAGGCAGAGACGGAGAGUGAAUCACAGAGGAGGAGGAGGAGGAGGAGGAGGAAGAGGGACCUUUGACAGAGCAGCGCUGACAAACAGUGAGAUACAUAAACAUGAGGUCAGAGAGUAUCGCAGCGGGAGGGGGAGGAGGACGAGAGGCCAAGUGUUUGAAAGUGUGUGUGAGAGAGAGAGAGAGAGAGGGGGGGAAAGAGAUAUGCUGCUACGGGAAGAUUGUCUCUCAUUGACAAGCUCUCACUCUGUUCAGGAAACCCGGCAAUCAAUGUUUUGGCAUGGCAGGGCACGCACACACACACACAUCAGUCUGUGUGUUUUAGUGUGUGUGUGUGUGUGUGUGUGUGAUGGAGGGGGAGAGGAUGUGCUCGAGGUCUUGGUGGUGCAGGAGAGAGUGUGUGUUUGUAAUGCAGAGCACGUCAAGAGUCCUACGGAGCUCCUUUUGCAGCAAAGCCUCAUUAAAGAGACACUUGCCUUAAAGGGAGGAAAUACUGCCGGACACACACACACACACACACACACACACUCAGACUAACAGCGACACACACACACACACACACACAAAGCUUCUCUUAGCAUCUCAGCAAAGAAAUGAAUGCAGAGCAAGUGGAGGAGUAAAUGCAGCCUCCGCCCACCCUUCCCCUUUCUUUUUUUUUUUCCUUUAAUUUCCUCUCUUUGUUCACCACAUGAAUAAAGUCAUCCAUUCAUCCACCUGCCUCCUACUCUCACACUGAUAUUAUAUUCAUUUCUAUUUGAUUGUGUCAACUCUGUGGAGAUUGGCUAUGAUGUAUCUUGUGUGCCUUUUUUUAAAAAAAAAAUGCUUCUAUGAAUAAAUAAUGUCUGUACUCACUGAAAAGCCAUAUUGCCAGAAAGCCAUGAUGAAAUGAUAAUGUAAUAUCUGUCCCUGUGUUGAAUAAAGUAACCCCCUCCCUCCCCUAUAAUUAUUAUUAUUGUUGUUGUUUUUUUGUUUGUAUUUUCUUUCAGUAAAUGAAAUCUAAAUUCCUGCGACUCUCUGAUACGUUUGCACUGCUGCUCUCUGUGUGUUUUAAUAAAGAGAAAGCCUGUUUCUAUA
Solea senegalensis (Senegalese sole) is the source of this 3434-nucleotide long non-coding RNA. RefSeq lists it as uncharacterized. The record is from RefSeq and is a predicted model, not a curated record. The transcript is spliced from 4 exons. Lineage: Eukaryota; Metazoa; Chordata; Actinopteri; Pleuronectiformes; Soleidae.